This 514-nucleotide ribosomal RNA is filed under the name uncultured bacterium. RNAcentral describes it as "bacterial SSU rRNA". It matches the Rfam family "Bacterial small subunit ribosomal RNA", at positions 867 to 1378 of the family's 1533-position model. The record is from RNAcentral.
CCGGACCUGGGGAGUACGGCCGCAAGGCUAAAACUACAAGGAAUUGACGGGGACCCGCACAAGCGGUGGAUGAUGUGGAUUAAUUCGAUGCAAACGCGAAAAACCUUACCUACCCUUGACAUGUCAGGAAUCCUGAAGAGAUUUGGGAGUGCUCGCAAGAGAGCCUGAACACAGGUGCUGCAUGGCUGUCGUCAGCUCGUGUCGUGAGAUGUUGGGUUAAGUCCCCGCAACGAGCGCAACCCUUGUCAUUAAUUGCCAUCAUUUAGUUGGGGCACUUUAAUGAGACUGCCGGUGACAAACCGGAGGAAGUGGGGAUGACGUCAAGUCCUCAUGGCCCUUAUGGGUAGGGCUUCACACGUCAUACAAUGGUCGGUCCAGAGGGUUGCCAACCCGCGAGGGGGAGCCAAUCUCAGAAAGCCGAUCGUAGUCCGGAUCGCAGUCUGCAACUCGACUGCGUGAAGUCGGAAUCGCUAGUAAUCGCGGAUCAGCAUGUCGCGGUGAAUACGUUCCCGGG